This 71-nucleotide transfer RNA is filed under the name Sphaerodactylus townsendi. RNAcentral describes it as "tRNA-Thr". Lineage: Eukaryota; Metazoa; Chordata; Lepidosauria; Squamata; Sphaerodactylidae. The record is from RNAcentral.
GGAGCUUGGCCCAGUGAUAGAGCGUCUGCUUUGUCUGCGGAUGGCCCCAGGUUCAAUCCCCAGCAUCUCUG